UGGAGAGACGCUCAACCAACCAACUGAGCCACCCAGGUGCCCCAUGUUGCUUGUACUUUUAUGUGACAUAGAAAUGAGAAAGCCUGCUGGUAUUUAUUGGUCUAAAACAGAGAACCUUGUAUGUGCUGUGGAUGCUCUGGUAGCUUGGAGCAGCUGCAGACCCCCACUUAAAGCAAUGUUUUUAACUACAGGAAAAGAAACGCACAGGUUUACAAAGCCAACCAAUUAUAUUGCACAUGCAGUGAUCAAAUUAUGAAAAAAUGUGAUGCAGCGAUAUGUAUCCUUCAUUAACAGCUUGGGGAACAAGACGGCAGACCUACCAUUAUAAUUUUGGUGUAGUGAUCAACAUACAGGAUAUUUUUGUGCUAUCAGACUGGCCAUGAGACAUGAAACUAUCUGGCAGUUCUCUGGGCAGCCACAAAAUCACAGGGUCUGCUGAUACAACUGUAGUUCCUUGUCUGAGUUCAUAAUCAAAGGAAAUGCUCAGUUUCAGUCUGAAGCUAUAAAAAUAAAGAUGUAAUUUUUUCCCCAUCCAAUUUCAUGGGUCCUCUGAAUUUUCUCCACAGACCUCUAGGGGUCCGUGGACCGCAGGUGAAGACCUCUAAGACAGUCAGCGGCAGAGGGUUCCAAGGACAAGGGAUCUCUCAGGAGGCAUUGGGAUCUGCUUUGCCUCGUCAUUCUGCCCUUGGAGAUUGUGUCCUACCUCGUACGCACCCACGUGACCAUGCCCUACGGAGUCUCUUCUGGGGAGCCCCACCUUCUCCAAGGCUGCUUCCAGGGAGGACCUGCAGUCCGGGAGGAAGGUCACCAUGUCCCUCAGCUGCUCCAAGUACUCCUCCAAUGAGGUCAGGCUGCCUCUGUGGGCAACAAACUCGUACUUCCGGAACUAGGGACACCCUGUCCUGGGGGGAAGCUCAUAGUUCCAGAAUCAAGAUGGCCCCUGACCGUGCAUUUUU
Molecule: long non-coding RNA, 956 nt
Organism: Herpailurus yagouaroundi (jaguarundi)
Lineage: Eukaryota; Metazoa; Chordata; Mammalia; Carnivora; Felidae
Exons: 2
Source: RefSeq, a predicted model, not a curated record